UACGGAGGAUUCAAGCGUUAUCCGGAUUUAUUGGGUUUAAAGGGUGCGUAGGCGGUCGGAUAAGUUAGAGGUGAAAUCCCGAGGCUCAACUUCGGAAUUGCCUCUGAUACUGUUCGGCUAGAGAGUAGUUGCGGUAGGCGGAAUGUAUGGUGUAGCGGUGAAAUGCUUAGAGAUCAUACAGAACACCGAUUGCGAAGGCAGCUUACCAAGCUACUUCUGACGUUGAGGCACGAAAGCGUG
This 240-nucleotide ribosomal RNA is filed under the name uncultured bacterium. RNAcentral's name for it is "partial 16S ribosomal RNA". It matches the Rfam family "Bacterial small subunit ribosomal RNA", at positions 524 to 763 of the family's 1533-position model. The record is from RNAcentral.